This 1428-nucleotide long non-coding RNA is filed under the name Anas platyrhynchos platyrhynchos (common mallard). Its description in RNAcentral is "lncRNA (ENSAPLG00000020813.1)". Lineage: Eukaryota; Metazoa; Chordata; Aves; Anseriformes; Anatidae. The record is from RNAcentral.
CCAUCUUGCUGCCUGCAUGAAACUACCAGUAAUUACAUUGAAUUACUCCUAUGCAGGCCUUUGAUGUCUUACUUUUUUGUUUGUUUGUUAUAUCUUGAGUUAGUUAGUGAAAAAACACACACAGACUUGGUAAUCAGGGGUCUUCCAAGUGAGGAUCCACAGCUUGGAGGAGUCCCCUCGGAAAGAUGAUGUUAGUAAUCCAAACCCUGCUUGUGCAUCUUUGUCUCAGCCUGUCUCCGAUAGAGAGACAUAAGCUUUUAAUAGACUGAGAAAUUCCUUGGAGGUGUUUGUUAGUUUGCAAUUACUUUGCAAUUGAUUUUCUUAAAAAACAAUUCAUAACUUGUUAAAGAUCUUCCCUCCCUCCUUCUCUCCCAGUUUCCUUUUCCAUCUCUGUCACUGCCCAGUAUUUACAGUCAUAAAGCCUAUUUGUUUCCCAUUGCUUAGGGAGAUGAUUUUUUCUACAGAGAGAAAAAAAUGAGACCUAAUCAUUUGUAAAACUGGAUUUACAGUCAGAUCCUCCUGGGGACUGAGUAUAAUUCUUACAGUGAUGACUUCUGCAAAUGUAGUUUAGGUGGUUAACCUAUUUGCCUCUGUUUCCCUUUUUGUAAAAUAAGGUCUAUUUUAGAAUAGCUCCUGUAGACCAAAUGCUGUCAGUGAAUUUGUGAAUGGCUUAGGGGAAAUAUAGCAAAAUAUAGCAAAAGUGAAUGAAUGCUUCAUUCAGAAUGGAAGAACACUAAGAGCUGUCCUCCAAAACAAACCUGACUGUCUCCUAACACCUGCAACUUGCACACUCAGCAAUGAACCUUCCUGCUUUUCUCCACCAGGGCCUGCAGCUGGGAACUCAAGAGUUGGAGGAGAUGGGAAGCAAGUUUUGCCUUGCUCUGCUCAUUCUGCAUCUCAAAUCCUUGCCCUGCAGCAAGAAGGUGAUGGACCAGGCAGCGCUCCUGCUGGAUCUGGAUGAGGAGAUAACAGACCGAGCACAAAGGCUGGUGCCAUUUUUGUGGGUUUAAGGAGAAUGAAGUGUCUGUAGUUUAAACCCAGCUCUGUUGUCUUCUAUGGUUAUCAAAAAAAUGCACGGCAUCUUUGAAUCUUUUCUAUAUUUUCUUCUUAAGAAAGUGUGAGUAAAUGUGGAUAGAAAUACCCAAUUUAUUUUGUACCUUUGCCAAAGCAGAGUUAGACCUGGGGCCUGCACGUGCAACACAGGAUCAAUCUAGGUGGGUACCUUGUGGGAUUUCUUUCUUGUGUGCUUUAUAUUGUGAAUAGAGGUGUUUUUUAACACCCUGAAGGUAAACCCUUUUCCAACAGUCUGUACAACCCUGAUCCCAAGAAAUAUUAUUCAUAGAUGUUGAAGUGGGAAGCAUUAGCUCUGAUUGUAGCUAAUGCUUUUCUGGCAAAAUAAAGUGUGUCACAAAGACUGUCCUACUAGCA